GUGCCUGGCUCCCUGUAUGCCACCUGCAAAGCUCAUCAAAAAGUUGGUGGCGGCCUCCGCAGGUGGCAUGCGAGGAGCCAUGCAU
RNAcentral lists this microRNA precursor (85 nucleotides) under Manihot esculenta (cassava). Its description in RNAcentral is "miR160b stem-loop (mes-MIR160b)". Its record names the gene mes-MIR160b. It matches the Rfam family "mir-160 microRNA precursor family". Rfam says of the family: The hairpin precursors (represented here) are predicted based on base pairing and cross-species conservation -- their extents are not known. In this case the mature sequence is excised from the 5' arm of the hairpin. Lineage: Eukaryota; Viridiplantae; Streptophyta; Magnoliopsida; Malpighiales; Euphorbiaceae. The record is from miRBase by way of RNAcentral.